Molecule: ribosomal RNA, 548 nt
Filed under: uncultured bacterium
Lineage: Bacteria
Description: bacterial SSU rRNA
Rfam family: Bacterial small subunit ribosomal RNA
Source: RNAcentral
ACGGGUGAGUAACGCGUAGGAACGUGUCCAGAGGUGGGGGACAACCCCGGGAAACUGGGGCUAAUACCGCAUAGGGGCUGAGGCCCAAAGCCGAAAGGCGCCUUUGGAGCGGCCUGCGUCCGAUUAGGUAGUUGGUGGGGUAAAGGCCUACCAAGCCUGCGAUCGGUAGCUGGUCUGAGAGGACGACCAGCCACACUGGGACUGAGACACGGCCCAGACUCCUACGGGAGGCAGCAGUGGGGAAUAUUGGACAAUGGGCGAAAGCCUGAUCCAGCAAUGCCGCGUGGGUGAAGAAGGUCUUCGGAUCGUAAAGCCCUUUCGACGGGGACGAUGAUGACGGUACCCGUAGAAGAAGCCCCGGCUAACUUCGUGCCAGCAGCCGCGGUAAUACGAAGGGGGCUAGCGUUGCUCGGAAUUACUGGGCGUAGAGGGCGCGUAGGCGGCGGCCCAAGUCAGGCGUGAAAUUCCUGGGCUCAACCUGGGGACUGCGCUUGAUACUGGGUUGCUUGAGGAUGGAAGAGGCUCGUGGAAUUCCCAGUGUAGAGGUG